UUAACUCAAAUUUGUAUGGAGUUGGAAAGUUUGCCUACGUUUGCCGCUAGGGGCGCUGUUCCAACAGCAUACAAAUAUAUGAGUUA
RNAcentral lists this microRNA precursor (86 nucleotides) under Bombyx mori (domestic silkworm). RNAcentral's name for it is "mir-2807 microRNA precursor family". It matches the Rfam family "mir-2807 microRNA precursor family". The record is from Rfam by way of RNAcentral. Lineage: Eukaryota; Metazoa; Arthropoda; Insecta; Lepidoptera; Bombycidae.